RNAcentral lists this ribosomal RNA (400 nucleotides) under uncultured bacterium. RNAcentral's name for it is "bacterial SSU rRNA". It matches the Rfam family "Bacterial small subunit ribosomal RNA", at positions 355 to 772 of the family's 1533-position model. The record is from RNAcentral.
UGGGGAAUAUUGGACAAUGGGGGAAACCCUGAUCCAGCAAUGCCGCGUGAGUGAAGAAGGCCCUAGGGUUGUAAAGCUCUUUUGUUAGGGAAGAUGAUGACGGUACCUAACGAAUAAGUCCCGGCUAACUCCGUGCCAGCAGCCGCGGUAAUACGGAGGGGGCGAGCGUUGUUCGGAAUUACUGGGCGUAAAGGGCGUGUAGGCGGUUGUUUAAGUUAGGCGUGAAAGUCCCGGGCUCAACCUGGGGAUUGCGCUUAAGACUGGACGACUAGAGUGCGGAAGAGGAGAGCAGAAUUUCCAGUGUAGAGGUGAAAUUCGUAGAUAUUGGAAGGAAUACCAGUGGCGAAGGCGGCUCUCUGGUCCGCAACUGACGCUGAGGCGCGAAAGCGUGGGGAGCAAA